This 136-nucleotide non-coding RNA is filed under the name Platyophrya macrostoma. Lineage: Eukaryota; Ciliophora; Colpodea; Cyrtolophosidida; Platyophryidae. The record is from RNAcentral.
AAAAUCCAUUCGCGAAGAAGAAAAAGAAGAAAGGUGGCAAAAAGAAGAAGAAAAAAUAAUUAGCAUGUUGUCACUGUGCUGCAAUAUUUAUUUUUUUCGCCUCUAGGUGUCAUUUCAUAGCUUAAUUGUAUGCAAU